UACGUAGGGUGCAAGCGUUGUCCGGAAUUAUUGGGCGUAAAGAGCUCGUAGGCGGUCUGUCGCGUCUGCUGUGAAAACUCAGGGUUUAACCCUGAGCUUGCAGUGGGUACGGGCAGACUAGAGUGCGGUAGGGGAGACUGGAAUUCCUGGUGUAGCGGUGAAAUGCGCAGAUAUCAGGAGGAACACCGGUGGCGAAGGCGGGUCUCUGGGCCGUAACUGACGCUGAGGAGCGAAAGCAUGGGGAGCGAACAGG
RNAcentral lists this ribosomal RNA (253 nucleotides) under uncultured bacterium. RNAcentral's name for it is "partial 16S ribosomal RNA". It matches the Rfam family "Bacterial small subunit ribosomal RNA", at positions 524 to 776 of the family's 1533-position model. The record is from RNAcentral.